UGGUCCAGUGGUUUGACUAAGGGUUCAUUAAUGCUUCUACACUCGGAGGUCUGGGGUUCAAACCCCAGAAAAUACUAAAUUAUGCAGAUUAUGGAGAAAUAGGUUACAAGAGAUCUUCAGCUUGGUGCAGGGUGUACCAUCGAACAUGGAUCUCAUAGGACGGCAUACCGAAACUUCCGUGUCCUAAUGGCCCAGAGUCAAGCCCACUUCUCAAAACGACUCACACCUUUGUCUUCUCUGUUUCGUAUUCGUGCAAAUCUCCGUUACCAACAACCCUUUCUUUAUCAAUCAAUUAUAUCAUUUAUUUCUUUUUUACGGUUUCCUUUCACCUCCUCCCUAUGUAUCUUCUCCUAUAAAGAUCUUUCUUCAAAAUUUUAACUCAAACCAAAAUAAAAAAACCUCCACUAAUAAAGGUAAAGCCUAUGGCCAUGGAAAAUAAAUAAUUCAGAGUCUCUCGCUCUUCCUCUACUCUAUAGCUAUAAAACGGCGAAAUCCAUCGUGUUUGCCAUCAAGUUUGCUUGCUUCAAUUGUUGCAGCUUCAUAACUCGUGCCCUGUUUGUCAUAUGAGUUCCCCACAUACGAUGCUGAUUACGAGUUCAUGACUCAUGGAGGUCAGACCAGUGGGGAAGUCGGACAACGAACGGUUGAGAGUUCGCCGACGCCGAGGAGUUUUAGUGUAUCAUAUCCAUGGCCACUCAGGAGACGGGAUACGAAUUAGGAUUCUGGGAGUGGAUCUGAUAUCGAUACUAGAAAUUCAUGGCAUACACUGAAAUUCUCUAAACAUUUGAAGAUCAAGAGGAGUUAAAAGAGGUUUUGACCUUCGAAUGCUAGCAAGAAGGUGGAUCAAUGAGAAGCUUUUCGAAUAUACUCUGUACACAUUCCUUUUACAUAUCCUUCUCUCCAAUAUUUGUGUUGCCAGUGUUAACAAUGGGUUAUGGAGAUGGGGAAGAAGCUUGCAGAGAGGAUAAGGAAGCAAAGGGGCUUACAUUGUCCUGAGUGUUAAAUCACAGCUCAUUGAAUGAAAAAAGUACCUAACUCCGUAUUUUCCAAUGGUCUUACAUAAUUGUCUCCAGUGGGAUCAGGAGCCUUAUGCUACUGUCGAUAUACUACAGAUUCCACCAACAUCAUAUCUUCAAAGGCAAAAAGAGGGAAGAUGAACAUGGCGACUUGAAGCCAGCCUCUAUCGCUGAGGGUGGAAACUGCAGCAAACCAUAGUAGACACUAGAAGGUGCUCGCAGGUUGAAGCAAAAGAAGUUUUUUUUUCUGUUACAAAGCUUUCCCAAUCUAAAGACACUGGUUUGGGAGAGAAUGAUUUACUUGAUCAUGAAGGAACUUUCUCUAUUAGCUGAUAAGGUUCGUAGUUUGUAAUUUGCCUAAGUAGCUGAAUCCUAACACUAAUACUGAAGGUAUAGUUUCUGAAUUCUGAUAAGUUGUUUGUUUUUCUAUGGUUAGUAUUGUUACAAGCUCCCUGAUCAACGAUAUGAAUAGCAAGAUUGAUAUGUAUCUUGCAAAUGGUAUAACUCUCUAAUACCGAAUAAUAGACGAAACCCUUUUUACACAAAUUAGGUGGUACUUGAAACAAGCGAUUGUGGAUAAGAACUAUGUUGUUUUAAGCUCUGUUAGUAAGUUCUUUUGCAUGCUUCUUAGUUGCAAAACCAAAACUCAGGUUAUGCUGCAAAAUGAUUAGUUUCAUAAAUAUCAGCUUCUACAUUGAUAUAUAUGUAGAAAAAUAAGAGAAAGAAGAAAAGCUUACAAGGAUUAAGGAUGUUAGGGGGCUUUAAAAGGAUAAAGCACUGCAAGAAAUGAACGGCAAAAGCAACAUUUUGAAGUAUUGGACAUAACACGUGUUUUUUUUAAUCGUGGGAGUAUUCCUUAUGUACUGCUAUUAGAUUACUUGAUAAGAUAAGAAAUGUAUUUCUUAAUUUGCUUCACCAGUGCCAACAAUCACAAAAUUAUAAUUUAUUCUUCCUUUUUCAGGUUCUAAUGAUUGGUUGUUAUUUGAGUUGUUGUGAUUUUUAGUAGGGAUGUGUAAAGGAAGAUGGAAUCUAACAAGUCAGUGUCGGAGGUUGAUGAUGAAAUUGAGGGUGAGGAUCGUAGUAAAUAGGUUUGUAGUUGAUCAUUUUAAAUUACGUUAGAUUGUGUAUAAUCAAAUUCAUGAUGAGAAUGGUGACUAAGGUUGAAGUUUAUAGCAUAAGUACAAAUGGCUGAUCUAUCUGUCUUCUUUAUGUUUUCAUAAAAUUGUUAUGGGAAUGAUUGAAAGAUAGUGUUUUUCUUUAUUAUUCUCUUUGUUUUAAUACUUCCACAAAAUGUUUUAUUCCCUACAUGAUUUAGAUUCUUACUUUAUAUAUUUGUGAUCUCAUAUUCUAUUUUGACAUGUGAUCAGUUCAAACAAAAGGUUAGAUGAAAGUUGGUAAAUAAAAAUUUAUUUAUUUGGCCAAGAUAAUAUCAUUGUUUCAAAUUUGUGUCCAAUUCUAAAUUUACACAUUUCUAACCUAUUAAAUAUAAUAUACUUUUGUAGUUAAAUUAUCAAAAAGACAAAUUAGUGAUAAAGCAGUAUAAGGAGUUGUAUUAAUCUUUGAUGAUGCAACUAAAUAAAACAUAAAAUAUUCAGAAAAUUACUAAGUAAUAAAUUAAUAAGUAAAAUGAAUAAAAUUUGAUAUCUAAUAUGAGUUUGCAAAGAAGUAAGAAGAAAAUAAAACAUUAAGGAUUAUAAAAUGGUAAAAUAAAGAGUAAAUAAACACACAAAUUUAUUACUUCAAAUAUAUAUGUAAUAAGUUUGAAUCAAGUUGAGUCUGUUUAUUUUGCUACCAAAACAAAUUUGAACCAAGUAGUAAACAAUAAAUCUAUCAAAUUUUCAAAACAAAUUAUUAAUUUAUUUUUUAAAUAUCUAAAAUAAAAUUAAACGUCAAUAUAUAAAUAAAUAUAUAUAUAUAUGUAUACAUAUAUAUAAUUAAAAUCAUAUAUUAAGGAUCUUUGAUAUAUCAUGCAUAUUAUAAUAUUUUUUACAAAUGAUAAAGAAUAAAUUCUAACAUCGUAUUCACAUAUCAUUCAAAUAACAAGAAACCACAAUAAUUCUAUUAAAUAAUAUACCCAAAAUGCACUCAUACAACUUAUGGCUAAACUUACAAUCAAAUGUACAUUAUGUCUAGCCACUUACAAACACAUUCAUAUUAGAUAAAUUUAUAAAUACAAUUUGUGUUUACUUAUUUAAAUUUCAAAAUAGAUUUUAUUUAUUUAUUUAUUUUAAAGGUCCAUCCUAAUAUUAUUGAGAAAAUACACAUCACAGAAAAAAACUUACCAAAAAAAAACUAUAUACAAAAACAUAAUUCGUUAUAGGUUUGUUUUUCUAGAGGUACAAACAAAAAAUAUAAUCCGAAAGAAAAAUUACAAAAAUGUUUUAAUCUUGAAAUAUCUCAAAUGUAACUUUUGUACAUUUCUUCAUAUGAAAUGGCCAAUCAAUACAUUUUUGACAAUUUCAAAGCAUAUAAGAUUAAAAAUAAAUUAUCUUGAUAACAAUCACUAAUCCAAACAUAUGUAAAGGUGAAUGGAAAAUAAAUUUCAUUAUCAUGUUUGAUUUUUUCUAAUUGAUUUUUUAAAACAAUACAUAAAUUAUUAUUCACCUCAGCAUUUGGAAUAAAAUAUUAUUCUUAUUUUACCUAAGAUGAAGCUAAUAAAAACAUAUAUUAUAUAGAAGACUAAUGUCACAUUCAAAAAGCCACAAUAUAUACCUUAAAAAACUCAAUCUAUAUACAUUUGUUUUAUGGUUUUCUGAUUUAUUAAUUCUAAAUUCAUUAAAUUGUUUUAAAAAUACACAAAAUCAAUAAAUAUUAUAAAAAACUAUUUUUGGUCUAUUAAUUGACUGUAAAUAAUAUCUAAAAGCAUUUUCUGCGCGUAGCGCGGCCAGAAACUUUAGUAAGUAUAAUUAAUAAAAACAUAUGUAUUGCAUUUGUUUUUUAAUAUGUGUAAAAAUUAUCAAAACGACACUCUUUUGUAAAAUGAAAAGAUAUAUCUAGAUUAAAUUGUUUAUUAAUUCAUGAAUUUUGGAUUAUUUUUAAGGUCAGACCAAAAUGAGUACGACACUGAAUUUACAAACUUUAAUUUUUUUUCUCAAUUAUAAUUUUAUCAAUGGAAUUAGUGUUUCGGUUUAUCUUUGCUUUGCUUUUAUCGGAAGUGUAACAUAAGUAAAAAUGAGAGACGGAAGCUUGCAAUUUGGUUGUGUGAAACACAUGAUCGCCAUGGCCAAGCCAAGUCUGGCUACACGAUGGCCAAGCUAUUUAAAACCCAGAUAACUCCUAAUUUUUGGCUCUAGUAUUAACACUGUCCAACUACACGAUGAAUAACCAACUACAUAGGUGGCAGUGUCCAUUAAACAUUUGCUUAAUAAAAAAAACAUGUUCCUCUUCACUUAUUCUUAAACAGCAAUCCGCUCUCAUAUCUCAUUUGGACAAAGCACAAGCUUCCAUGACAGACAAGAAAAAGAAACGGGCGUUUUAACACUAAUCCUGGAGACUGAAAACUAAUAAAAGACUUUUUUUUUUCUUUAGACCAAAAGUCAGAAAAAUAGAUAGAUCAUAGAUUCCAGAUUUGCAGUCACACAAACAAAACUAAAGCCA
This is a long non-coding RNA of Brassica rapa (field mustard), 4613 nucleotides long. RefSeq lists it as uncharacterized. Lineage: Eukaryota; Viridiplantae; Streptophyta; Magnoliopsida; Brassicales; Brassicaceae. The record is from RefSeq and is a predicted model, not a curated record.